RNAcentral lists this transfer RNA (87 nucleotides) under Candidatus Woesearchaeota archaeon. RNAcentral describes it as "tRNA-Leu". It matches the Rfam family "tRNA". Rfam says of the family: Transfer RNA (tRNA) molecules are approximately 80 nucleotides in length. Their secondary structure includes four short double-helical elements and three loops (D, anti-codon, and T loops). Lineage: Archaea; Nanobdellati; Candidatus Woesearchaeota. The record is from RNAcentral.
GGCGGGAUGGCAGAAUUAGGUCAAUGCGACUGGUUCAGAGCCAGUUAGGUCACCACACCUAUGCGGGUUCAAAUCCCGCUCCCGCCG